UACAGAGGUCUCAAGCGUUGUUCGGAUUCAUUGGGCGUAAAGGGUGCGUAGGCGGCGCGGUAAGUCGGGUGUGAAAUCUUGGAGCUUAACUCCGAAACUGCAUUCGAUACUGCCGUGCUUGAGGACUGGAGAGGAAACUGGAAUUUACGGUGUAGCGGUGAAAUGCGUAGAUAUCGUAAGGAAGACCAGUGGCGAAGGCGGGUCUCUGGACAGUUCCUGACGCUGAGGCACGAAGGCCAGGGGAGCAAACGGG
Molecule: ribosomal RNA, 253 nt
Filed under: uncultured bacterium
Lineage: Bacteria
Description: partial 16S ribosomal RNA
Rfam family: Bacterial small subunit ribosomal RNA
Source: RNAcentral